CUCACUGCCAAGCUAUCUCAUGCUCUCUGUUAGUGCCACGGCCUUGGUAGGAUGUUGGAUAGAAGAGACUAAAUAGAGCAUUGCCGCCUUGCUGAGAGGGGGGUGCAGAUGCAGGAGAUAUAUGUCACUGACACAAGAUUGAAGGAAAGGAUGAUACAACAAAAAAGGAAUUUUCAAAGCCACUGGGCCAACAACCUUGACUGUAAUCCUUCCACACACGGUGUUUUCAAGUAGCUGAGUGUGCGACUGAAUUAAUCACGGGCGUUCCCUUCUCAAACAAUGGGGCCAGACAUGGAACGCAGAAAUAACUGCUGGCCCAACAGUCAUCCGCUCCCAGCUCAUCAACAUUUAUGAAAUCAGGACCAUCAUGAGAUGCUUGGCGAGACAAAUGAGUGCAGCAAUAUUUACCUGGAUGACUGUACCUGGGGCUGGGCUGUUUGUCUGCAGUUUACCCUGGGCAUUUCCAUACUGACCUCUGAACCCAUGUAGCUCUCAGAUGGAUUUGUGAAAUAUAGGAGUGGUCUUGGACUUCUCACCUAGAUGGGACCAUAAAUGGGUGUCCACGCCCAUUUAUACCUUUGUAUUGUUGGACAUGGCAGACUGCUACUUAUUGCAUCAUGUUGGCUGACUCAUGCUUUUAAAGGAUUGGGCAAGGUUAGCUUGGUACUAUUGUGUUGUGAUCCAGGUGUGUCCAGCAUAAACUUAGCAAGAGAGGGUUUUUACUGCAGCCUGCAAGAGAUAGGAAUAAACUGUAGUAGAAGUAAACUGAAUUGUAGGUAGAAGCGGAAGCAAGAUAAUAAAAUUAGCUAAACAAUUUUUGGACAUAAGUGUACUUACAUUUUUUGCUAAAUUGUGAUUAGGGUGGCUUUUUUUGAUUACUUUAAACUUAUAGAAGUUGUCUGUAAUGAAACAUUCAUAUAACCCUGUCAAAAUACUGGUUAUCUGCACUGCGUCAGAAAAUACAAUUUACAGAUUUGAUUAAGUAAUGCUCCAGCAUCAACCUUUGCAAUUUAGGUAAGCCAGACAGCCACAUCCACAUCACUGCCAUGGGAAUGAUGUAAGGGCUGGUCAAAUAUUGCAGCAAUGACCCAAUAAUAACAUUACUUAAUUUCAUUAUACAGGGCUUUGCAGAUGCCCUGUCUGCACUGAUGAAUAUUCACUCACCUCGGCAUGCUGAACACUGAGCUCCAACUGAUGGAAGUGCAAUCUCCUUCAUUCCAAAAUACUGUAUUUCCAUGGACAUCUUUUUUAUGCCUAUUUAAGUUCCUUGUCUUUAAUUAGGCAAAAUAGAUGUUGAAAUUUGGACAUUCUUCUGUCCAAUUUUAACCUAAAUAAUAAAAACACUGAAAGGCCAUAUGAUGACCUUUGACCUUUAAAGUAGUGUUGUGCGAUUAAUUAAAUUUAUUGUACAAUAUCAAUUUUGUCUCUAACAAAUCAGAGUCAUCAUAAAACAAGCAAAAAAGUAGACGGCACAAUUUCGUAUCUGGUGUGGCGAAGGAGAGGAUAAUGAAUUUAAAAAAGCAAUAAAUAAAUAAGAUAUAAAAAUAAUCAUAGUUAGAAUAUCUUCCAAUAAUUAGCACCACUACUUUCAGCCAUAUUUAGUUAUCCUUUCAUAAGCAUUAAUAUUAUCAUCUUUUCUAUGUCUUUUUUUGUGAAAAUUAGCUUGCAGUGUUUUGUUUCGGUUUAUAAUUAUUUGAGUAUCUUGGGACCAUAGAGCACUGGGUUUGAUAAGGUGGUCUUGAGUACAAAAAAAAAACCAAAACAAGUUCAUGAUGUCAUAGCAAAAGUUACAUGCCUCAUCCUAUCUCAGUAGUACAAUGUAAAUGUUACACGCUUCGUCCCAAUAUACCCGCCCUAUACAAAACAGCUGGGCAUUAAACACGCCAAAUCUGUUCCUCACAUUUAGUCAUUUGUUUUUCUUUAUGGGAAAAUCAGAAAUGGUGUGACGUGAGCUUUAUUCAAGUACUCCCCAGCAUUAUAAUUUGUAGCUUUGUAGAGUCUCUUACUGGUAUUGGAAACAGAAGAGUGCAGUAUCAUGCAUGCUUCCUCUUUAGGAGUAAGCAAAUACCCAGUUCUUAAUUUAAAAAGAAAUUCAACGACAUCUGAAGUAAAAAGUAAGUGCCCUCCGUAAUGGUGCCGCAGGCUAAGUCCGUGUCUUUGAUCCAGGCUCCAAGGCUGUGUCAGGAAGGGCAUCCGGCAUAAAAACUCUGCCAAGUCUAUGUACAAGUUGUAAUGACUUGCUGUGGCGACCCCUGAAUAAGCUGAAAAGGACUUACUAUUGAAAGUACAUUUGCACAAAAGUGAUUACAUUUCUGUUGGGAACUGGUCACAAAAUGUGAAAAUAUAUUUGUAUUGAGUCCUUAUUUUAAUUUUUUGUAAUUUAACCUCAGAUUUGUUGAAAUUUUGCAUUUACACUUCUGUUUGGUGUUCAUUGCAUUCCAGGUGGAUGCUGCAAAGUACAAAUAUACCUCCACUGAGAUAAUACAGUGUCAUCAACUAUUACAAAGUGUACUUGGUUCCUUGUCAAAAAUGUUCCAUUCUUUCCCAAACUGAGAGCAUGCUAACCGCCCUCUUUUGCAGUUUCAAACUGCACUGGGUUCAAACCACAGCACUGGAAAAACAAAAAAACCUCUUAAAUUUGAAAUAUAUUUCCUCAUGAAACUGAAAGGCAUCAGAGCAACCUGUAAAUAACCAUACUGAAAAUUAGGGGUGCAGGAAACAGAAAUUCACUGACUCUCCAUACAGUUGAACAGUACUGAUAGAAACGUUAAGGACUCAAGUGAGGGCGUUGCCUUUCUUGGGCGUAGGUAGAAAUGUUGCAGACAGGGGAUGUGGCAACUAGGUAUGAUUUGUCAUAAGUCCCAGAAAGCCAGGAACAGUCUGUAAAUAGGUGUGCCAUUCAUGAUGAAACUGAUAAAUGCUUCAUGUGGGAUUGUUCAAAGGUGUAGGGACAAAAUCAACUAUUGUGCUCAAGUUUUGCAUUAUCCACUCGGUGGAAGUCAGGCAAACUAAGAAAUCCCUUUCAAAUGAAUUGUCAUAGAUUUCUGUGCACAGAGAAAACAAGUCUCUGCAAUAGAAGCACAUAAAGCAACAGUUUAGGAGGCUCAUAUGGUUGUAAAUUACUUAAGUUAUAAUCUGUUUACUGCCUUCACUGAAUAAUUGUUGAUGAUAGCUUUUAUCGUGAAACCCUCGACAGAGCGUUACUCUUUUUGAAGGUUUCCUACCUGAAUUAAUGACUAUACUGGUCACUAUGCUAAGCACCACUAAGCACAGAUGUUGAACUGUCAAUAUGUCCCACUGCAUAACUACAUGCGGCAUGUGUGUUAACAUGAUUCAGCUCACUUGAAUGUAAAGGACUGCAAUGUAAAUUUACAGCUAAAUGUUAUGAUUUGUGGGUGUUUUUGGGUUUUGUUGGUCUUAUUUCA
Girardinichthys multiradiatus is the source of this 3425-nucleotide long non-coding RNA. RefSeq lists it as uncharacterized. The transcript is spliced from 3 exons. Lineage: Eukaryota; Metazoa; Chordata; Actinopteri; Cyprinodontiformes; Goodeidae. The record is from RefSeq and is a predicted model, not a curated record.